AUGCAUUCGAUAAAUUAAUCCGAUACUAAUUAUAUCGAAUUAUAAUCUGUGAGUUAAUUUAUUGGUUGCAGUGUAUUAAAUAUGUGGCGUCUGUGGUGCUACCAAUAAAUAAUAUUGGGGUAGCUGUUGUGCAGAUAAAAGAUGAUACAUAAUUCAACGUAGAAAAUUUUCACCUCCUUUCACACACUUCAAAUAAAUGCGCGUUGAUAAAUAAUUUAUCAAUGGCGGUGGCGGCUGCCAGAAGCCAACAAAGUCGCACGGAUAAAAUGUUACAAUAAAGAGGCAUUAUUGUUGGCGGAGCUGAAGCACACGCCAAAGUGUGGAACGAUGUUUGGGUAAGACGGCGGCAAAAGGGGAUAAAAGUCAUUGAACUUACACAUCUUGCUGUCAGAUUAAUCAUGGACAAUAUCUUAAUUAAAGGUUUUCUUCUCUCCUCCUUCGUGUUCAGCAAUUUUCAUUUCUGUAGAGAGAUGCCUCUUUUUUUUUAGCCGCCCCACCAGCAGAGUGGACCCAAUAUGGGGCGCGUACCGAGGAAGGGCAAAAAAGGAGUAUACAUAUAACCUUCAUGCUUGUGAGAAUCACCUGCCCAGGCACAAAUCUCACUUAAUUUAUUUUUAUUAUUAUUGGUUUGAUUUAUAAAUGUGCGCGCUUUUGUAGACCAUGCCACAAGAUAAUUGUGUUGGAUUGUCUUUUUAGUCCAAUUGAUUUAUGACCGUAUAAUUCACUUCUCGCUCCUACUCGUUAAUUACUUUUGGUGUUUUGAUAAGAAUCACACACACACACACGUACCCCCAGAAGAUACAAAGUGGUGGUGCAUAAUUUACAAUUUUCCUAACAUGUAUAACUACCUCGGUAUAAGAUCCAAUUUCUGGGUAAAUUAAAUACCUUCCGGAAUUCCCGCCAAGAAUUUACGACUCUCACCGCGGUGUGUUAAUGAAAACAGACGCAAUCUCAAAUGAUUCAUUAAUUUUAAAUGAUGCCACAAGGUUAAUUCCAUCGCCUUUUUCUCCCAUCUUCCAACAUUGCGCUACCAACAGUUAGGUUUUGUGAUUCAAAUUAACAGAAACUUGUGAUUUAGUGGUGCUUAUCGCGAAAAUUUGGCAAAGAAAUGAUCUUUUCUGUACUACCUGCUUAAUGUGGUUUGUUCAUGUCUUCGUGGUUGACAAAAAUUUAUCUUUGUGUUUUAUUGCAAAAAAUUCGUAUUAAAAAUGAUGAUGUUUAAAUUAAACUAAUUGAGAGAGAGAGUUCAUAUAAAAUUGGAACAGUUAUAAAGGUUGACAUCUUAAUGAUGGUCAAAAUUUACAAGGAUGUGUUUAAAAGUUUUAUUACUUUUAUUCUUGUCAAAAGUGCU
This is a long non-coding RNA of Lutzomyia longipalpis, 1351 nucleotides long. RefSeq lists it as uncharacterized. The record is from RefSeq and is a predicted model, not a curated record. Lineage: Eukaryota; Metazoa; Arthropoda; Insecta; Diptera; Psychodidae. The transcript has 2 exons.